CGCUAGCGGCAGGCCUAAUACAUGCAAGUCGAACGGGUUCAAGUAGCAAUACUUGGAUCAGUGGCGCACGGGUGCGUAACGCGUAUGCAACCUACCUUAAACUGGGGGAUAGCCUUCCGAAAGGGAGAUUAAUACCGCAUAAGAUCAUUUGAUGGCAUCUGAAGAUGAUUAAAGAUUUAUUGGUUUAAGAUGGGCAUGCGUGCCAUUAGCUAGUUGGUAGUGUAACGGACUACCAAGGCGACGAUGGCUAGGGGUUCUGAGAGGAUGAUCCCCCACACUGGUACUGAGAUACGGACCAGACUCCUACGGGAGGCAGCAGUAGGGAAUAUUGGGCAAUGGACGGAAGUCUGACCCAGCCAUGCCGCGUGCAGGAAGAAGGCCUUCUGGGUUGUAAACUGCUUUUAUAUAGGAAGAAAACACCCAUGCGUGGGAACCUGACGGUACUAUAUGAAUAAGCACCGGCU
This 464-nucleotide ribosomal RNA is filed under the name uncultured bacterium. RNAcentral's name for it is "bacterial SSU rRNA". It matches the Rfam family "Bacterial small subunit ribosomal RNA", at positions 34 to 498 of the family's 1533-position model. The record is from RNAcentral.